UCCCUUCAUAUAAAUGGUACGAAUGGACUCAGGAGCCUACAAUGAACUCAAAGGUCAUAUUCUCCUCAUUGAUCCGUGCCUAAAUGGAAUGGUUCGAGAAUUGUCCGUACGCUUGUACGGACGUUGCAGAAAAUCGAGAGAGGGAGGAGAGAGAGUACACAGGGAAAAGGAUAAGUGUGUGUGUGGUCCUAGUUGGUUACUAACCCACAAAACAAAGUAACAAGCCUAAGUAUUUUUCCAAGAACUUAGGAAAUAUAGAAUUGUCCAACUUAAGUACAUAAUACACACAACACACUUUAACGUCCAAGGGUAAAUUAGUAACUUCCACGUUCGAGACCAAUUAAUAUUACAACAUUUCGGAACGGGUUGUGACAAUCUACCCACCUUAAAAAUUUCAUCUUCAAAAUUCAUGCACAACAAUACAUCCACUAAUAACCAUAAAACAAUCGUGGAUACAUCUCUCUUAUCCGAUCUUCUGUCUCCCAGG
RNAcentral lists this long non-coding RNA (487 nucleotides) under Malus domestica (apple). Its description in RNAcentral is "long non-coding RNA (MDOM_LNC002794)". Lineage: Eukaryota; Viridiplantae; Streptophyta; Magnoliopsida; Rosales; Rosaceae. The record is from RNAcentral.